UACGGAGGAUCCGAGCGUUAUCCGGAUUUAUUGGGUUUAAAGGGAGCGUAGGCGGGAUAUCAAGUCAGUUGUGAAAUGUAGACGCUCAACGUCUGCACUGCAGUUGAAACUGGUAUUCUUGAGUGCGUAAGGGGCAGGCGGAAUUCGUCGUGUAGCGGUGAAAUGCUUAGAUAUGACGAAGAACUCCGAUCGCGAAGGCAUCUUGCCGGGCCGCAACUGACGCUGAAGCUCGAAGGUGCGGUUAUCGAAC
This 250-nucleotide ribosomal RNA is filed under the name uncultured prokaryote. Its description in RNAcentral is "partial 16S ribosomal RNA". It matches the Rfam family "Bacterial small subunit ribosomal RNA", at positions 524 to 773 of the family's 1533-position model. The record is from RNAcentral.